UACGGAGGGUGCAAGCGUUGCUCGGAAUUAUUGGGCGUAAAGGGUAGGUAGGUGGUCUCAUUUGUCUGGGGUGAAAGCCUUGAGCUUAACUCGAGAAGUGCCCCAGAAACGGUGAGACUAGAGUUCUGGAGAGGGUCGUGGAAUUCCCGGUGUAGCGGUGAAAUGCGUAGAGAUCUGGAGGAACACCAGAGGCGAAGGCGGCGACCUGGACAGACACUGACACUCAACUACGAAAGCGUGGGGAGCAAACAGG
This 253-nucleotide ribosomal RNA is filed under the name uncultured bacterium. RNAcentral describes it as "partial 16S ribosomal RNA". It matches the Rfam family "Bacterial small subunit ribosomal RNA", at positions 524 to 776 of the family's 1533-position model. The record is from RNAcentral.